RNAcentral lists this long non-coding RNA (1186 nucleotides) under Bemisia tabaci. RNAcentral describes it as "lncRNA ENSSSA3NGG012624". Lineage: Eukaryota; Metazoa; Arthropoda; Insecta; Hemiptera; Aleyrodidae. The record is from RNAcentral.
UCCCCUGACAUUUUUGUCCUUUUCCCUGACAUUUUCAGGUUUUCCGUAACUUUUUAAAACUCCGACAUUUCCCGGUUUUCCCAGAAAAAUUCCUUGACUAUUGAGGAUACGCUAGAUGCACAAAAAGACAUUACUUGAAAUAGUGUUCAGAAAAAUGUGUUGUUCGAAACGUUAAACCCAUUCUAGAGAAGAAAUAAACGUUACUGGACAAUUUUUCCUGGACAUUUUCGUCAUUUUCCCUGACGUUUCCAGGCUUUCCGUAACUUUUUAAAAAUUCGACAUUUCCCGGUUGAACGGGAACCGUCAAAACCAAAACCAAAAAAAAUAAAUAAUAAAUAAAAAAAAUAAAAUAUGGCUUUCCCUUGGGGGGUUUCGACGUCCCUCAACUAAAUAAAUAAAAUAAUAAAAAAGGGAAAAGUGUCAAUCAGCGCGAACUGUUAAGCGCGUCAGCGACGUGCCCAGUCCGUGCCGUGAGCCAAGUUGAGAGUCAGUGCGAACUUUUCAGCGCACCUAAAAGAUGUGCCAAGUUCGGGCCGGUAGCUGCUCAAUUGACUCAGUGGAGUCAGGAGUCAGGGUAAGUGAUGUAACACGGGGUAAUGUUGCACACUCGAGAUUUAUUUGACAAAGUGACGUACAUCAGGUGUACCCACUCUGCGGCAAAUAAAUGAGAUUACUGGACAGGCCAGGAGCCUCGAAUUCGGGUGAAGCGCUGGUGGCUCUGAAAACGGGACUAAAGCAGCGGCAGGAGCGGCCGCUGGGAAGACGGGGUCCUCCACUCGGCGGAGGAUGCGCGCGCAUCUGGGGCGCUGGAGUGGGGAUGAUUCAACGAGGGAUGGCCCUGGCCAAGGGAGCCGUCAGGAGACGGAGGGCGAGGGGGGGGGGGGGGGCUACCUAAGAAUAAGUCAAAAUCGCACCGCAGAGUGGUGUACAUACAAAAUUGAAACUAAAUGAAUAUCUUAUGAUUAAAAUUGUAAGUAUCUGAAAGUAUAUAAAUUCUUAAAAUAACGUAAGUAAGUCGAUCAAAACCCAACACCGGUCUUCCGACUGUUGCAGCCCUGACUAUCAGGUUUUCUCAAGCACCAUGAGGUAAAACGCACCAUCUGUCCGUGGAAAUGAAUGGAGGGGGUGGUUCUGAAAAGUCAACUGCUUUCUGUUGUGCUGAAUUCAGUUCCGCAACGCUGGUACC